RNAcentral lists this long non-coding RNA (1273 nucleotides) under Homo sapiens (human). Its description in RNAcentral is "HSALNT0283785". The record is from RNAcentral. Lineage: Eukaryota; Metazoa; Chordata; Mammalia; Primates; Hominidae.
AAGCCUGCUCUCUCUUCCCUCCUCCCAGAUCAGCAAGGUAGAAACUUCACUCCAGGCUACAGCAGCCAAGAAUAUAGGACUGCCUCUCCCCCAACUGGAAGCAUUAUUCUCAGGAGGAGUAAAACUGCAUUUCUCAUUCUGCCCCCAGCUACUGGUUGCUGAGGCUGUUCCAGGUAACUGUGGUCAAGAGCACCACAACCCACGAGUAGACUUCAGAGAAUUAUCCAGCCAUUCUUGCUUUGUUCCUGAUCUUACAGGGAAAAGUUCUUGUUUCUCACUGAUACAGGAAGUACGUGUGCAGAUUUGUCACAUGGUUAUAUUGCAUGAAGCUGAGGUUUGUGGUAUGGAUCCUGUCACCAGGGAGUGAGCAUAGUAGCCAAUAGGUAAUUUUAAUAUCUGUAAUGGAUAUAGGGCUAGUCAAAUUAUAUAUUUAUUUUGGAUGAGUUUUGUUAGAUUGUGCCUUUUAAGAAAUUGGGUCACCCAGGUUAUCAAAUAAUGAAUAUAGAGUUGUUCAUAAUAUUUCUUUAUUACCCUUUUAAUGUCCAUAGGAUCUUUAGUGAUGUCCCCUCUUUCAUUUCUGAUAUUAUUAAUUUGUGUCUUCUCACUUUCUUUCUUAGCCUGGCUACAGGCUUAUCAAUUUUAUUGAUCUUUUCAAAGAACCAGCUUUUCGUUUUGCUGAUUCUCUUUAUUAAUAUCCUGUUGUCAAUUUCAUUGAUUUCUGAUGUGAUCUGUAUUAUUUCUUUUCUUCUGCUAACUUUGGAUUUAAUUUGCUUCCUUUUUUCUAGUUUCUUAAGGUGUAAGCUUAAGAUUAUUGAUUUUGUGUCUUUUUUCUUUUCUCAUAUGUGCAUGCAGUACUAUAAAUUUCCCUCUCAGCACUGCUUUCACUGCAUGCCACAAAUUUGGAUCAGCUGUCAUUUCAUUUUCAAUUAGCUCAUAAUAUUUUUAAAUUUCUAUUAAGAUUUCUUCUUCUAAAAAAAAGAUAUCUUCUUUAAACAAAACCAUGUUAUUUGGAGAUAAGUAUACAUUCAUGAAACUAUCAGCACAAUCUAUGCCAUAAAACUACCUGUCACUUUCAAAAGUUUUCUCCUGCCUUAUUUGUGUGUGUGUGUGUGUGUGUGUGUGUGUGUGUGUGUGUGUGUUGAGAAUACUUAAUAUAAGAUCUACCUUCUUGGCAAAUUUUUUUGAGACAAAGCCUUACUCUUUCACCCAGGCUUGAGGGCAGUGGCACAAUCAUGGCUCACUGCAGCCUUGAACUCCUGGGUUCAACCAAUCC